AACGGCAGCACGGGAGCUUGCUCCUGGUGGCGAGUGGCGAACGGGUGAGUAAUGCGUCGGAACGUACCGAGUAAUGGGGGAUAACGCAGCGAAAGUUGUGCUAAUACCGCAUACGCCCUGAGGGGGAAAGUGGGGGAUCGCAAGACCUCACGUUAUUCGAGCGGCCGACGUCUGAUUAGCUUGUUGGUGAGGUAAUGGCUCACCAAGGCGACGAUCAGUAGCGGGUCUGAGAGGAUGAUCCGCCACACUGGAACUGAGACGCGGUCCAGACUCCUACGGGAGGCAGCAGUGGGGAAUUUUGGACAAUGGGGGCAACCCUGAUCCAGCCACUCCGCGUGAGUGAAGAAGGCCUUCGGGUUGUAAAGCUCUUUCAGCCGGAACGAAACGGUACGCCUUAAUACGGUGUGCUAAUGACGGUACCGGCAGAAGAAGCACGGCUAACUACGUGCCAGCAGCCGCGGUAAUACGUAGGGUGCGAGCGUUAAUCGGAAUUACUGGGCGUAAAGCGUGCGCAGGCGGAUUGUUAARCAAGAUGUGAAAUCCCCGGGCUUAACCUGGGAAUGGCAUUUUGAACUGGC
RNAcentral lists this ribosomal RNA (578 nucleotides) under uncultured soil bacterium. Its description in RNAcentral is "bacterial SSU rRNA". It matches the Rfam family "Bacterial small subunit ribosomal RNA", at positions 65 to 637 of the family's 1533-position model. The record is from RNAcentral.